AGAAGAAGCACCGGCUAACUACGUGUCAGCAGCCGCGGUAAUACGUAGGGUGCGAGCGUUGUCCGGAUUUAUUGGGCGUAAAGAGCUCGUAGGCGGUUUGUCGCGUCGUUCGUGAAAACCUAUGGCUUAACUGUGGGCUUGCGGUCGAUACGGGCAGACUUGAGUUCGGCAGGGGAGACUGGAAUUCCUGGUGUAGCGGUGAAAUGCGCAGAUAUCAGGAGGAACACCGGUGGCGAAGGCGGGUCUCUGGGCCGAUACUGACGCUGAGGAGCGAAAGCGUGGGGAGCGAACAGGAUUAGAUACCCUGGUAGUCCACGCCGUAAACGUUGGGCGCUAGGUGUGGGUGCUGUUUCCACGGUGCCUGUGCCGUAGCUAACGCAUUAAGCGCCCCGCCUGGGGAGUACGGCCGCAAGGCUAAAACUCAAAGGAAUUGACGGGGGCCCGCACAAGCGGCGGAGCAUGUCGAUUAAUUCGAUGCAACGC
This 483-nucleotide ribosomal RNA is filed under the name uncultured Saccharopolyspora sp. RNAcentral describes it as "bacterial SSU rRNA". It matches the Rfam family "Bacterial small subunit ribosomal RNA", at positions 483 to 962 of the family's 1533-position model. Lineage: Bacteria; Bacillati; Actinomycetota; Actinomycetes; Pseudonocardiales; Pseudonocardiaceae. The record is from RNAcentral.